This 1245-nucleotide long non-coding RNA is filed under the name Monodelphis domestica (gray short-tailed opossum). RNAcentral's name for it is "lncRNA (ENSMODG00000039678.1)". The record is from RNAcentral. Lineage: Eukaryota; Metazoa; Chordata; Mammalia; Didelphimorphia; Didelphidae.
CCCCCUGGGCAGUUCUAGGCAAAUUGAAAUAAUGCAAUUGGUUCCUAUAAAGUGGAGGAAGGGACAGAAUGUAACGUGGAAAAAAGACUACAAAAAGUCCUGAACUUCUUGUCCAAGGUACUCCAGACUUUGACUUCACUUCAAGCUGGGACUUUGGCUCUUGUACUGCUUCUUGGAGGACUACUCCUGGAUCUUCUCCUUUGGACUUCAGUGUUGGAGGAUUUUGCCUUGGGAGACUAUAUUCUUCUGAUUAAAGGUUUUCAAAAGAAUAACCAUACAUGCAGCAGCAGUGGCAGCCACCGAAGUGACAGCAUCAGAUCAGGUCAAGAUGGUAACAUAAGAAACCCCCAGAGCCUGCCAACCACACUCCAAAGGACCAGAGAAGGACAAAAAUGCCUCAAAAUUUAUAUGGGGUGGAAGUACCAACAGAAGAAGGGGUGAAAUAGUGCUUGACCCAAAACAAUGUCACUGAGAGAAAGCAAAGAGAAUUCAUCUCAAUGGGGUAAAAGGAAGGAGCACCAAACAAGCAACAGCAGAACUGCAACAUAGGGUAAGCUGCAGGAGAAAGAGAAUAGCUAGCUUGGUCCAAUCUCAUCAGGGUAAGAGCAGAAACCAAUUAAAUACAGAAUAAGCAGCAGUGGGAGAAAUGUGGCCAUGCAUAAUCCAGCCAGGGACAGAGGCCAGACAUGACUUAGCACAGGCAGUGGUAGGAGGAACUCUGUCCAACAAGGUCUAGCCUUCAUAGGAUUGGGCAGAACUCAACUCCAAUCAGUUGAAUCAAAAAAAAAACUGAAAACCUCCAAACAGCAGGCCAACCAAAUUACCUCUGCAGAGUGUUCAAUCUGAGAUCCAGUGAGCUGAGCCAAACCCAGGCACAGUACAAGUGCCAGCUAAUACUACCUCUACUGCAGGAAGUUUUAGCAUAUUGAAAAAAUGAAGGGGAAACAUAAUUCCAAAGUGAGCAAGAGACGGAGGAAAGGCCUAUUACUAUAGAAAUAUUUCAAUAAUAGAGAUGACUAAAAUAUGAGUUCAGCAAUAUGAAAAUGAAAAUGUGGGGGGCAGCUGGGUGGCUCAGUGGAUUGAAAGCCAGGCCUAGAGAUGGGAGGUCCUAGGUUCAAAUCUGGUUUCAGACACUUCUUGGUUGUUUGACCUUGGGCAAGUCACUUAACCCUCAUUACCUAGCCCUUACCACUCUUCUGCCUUAGAACCAAUAAAUAGUAUUGAUUCUAAAAUGGAAGGUAAGAG